Molecule: ribosomal RNA, 254 nt
Filed under: uncultured bacterium
Lineage: Bacteria
Description: partial 16S ribosomal RNA
Rfam family: Bacterial small subunit ribosomal RNA
Source: RNAcentral
UACAGAGGGUGCUAGCGUUGUUCGGAAUCAUUGGGCGUAAAGGGCGUGUAGGCGGUUUGUUGCGUCGACUGUGAAAACCUGCGGCUCAACCGUGUGGUCUGCAGUCGAUACGGGCAGGCUGGAGUUCGGUAGGGGAGACUGGAAUUCCUGGUGUAGCGGUGAAAUGCGCAGAUAUCAGGAGGAACACCGGUGGCGAAGGCGGCAUCCUGGACCGGCAUUGACGCUGAGGAGCGAAAGCCAGGGGAGCAAACGGG